CUAAUACCGGAUAACAACAGAUGAUGCCUAUCAACUUAGGUUUUAAAAAGAGUUGGUUCUGCUAUAACUCUUGGAUGGACCUGCGGUGCAUUAGCUAGUUGGUAGGGUAACGGCCUACCAAGGCGAUGAUGCAUAGCCGAGUUGAGAGACUGAUCGGCCACAUUGGGACUGAGACACGGCCCAAACUCCUACGGGAGGCAGCAGAG
This 206-nucleotide ribosomal RNA is filed under the name uncultured Lactobacillus sp. RNAcentral's name for it is "partial 16S ribosomal RNA". It matches the Rfam family "Bacterial small subunit ribosomal RNA", at positions 163 to 354 of the family's 1533-position model. The record is from RNAcentral. Lineage: Bacteria; Bacillati; Bacillota; Bacilli; Lactobacillales; Lactobacillaceae.